Long non-coding RNA from Poecilia latipinna (sailfin molly), 994 nucleotides. RefSeq lists it as uncharacterized. The record is from RefSeq and is a predicted model, not a curated record. The transcript has 2 exons. Lineage: Eukaryota; Metazoa; Chordata; Actinopteri; Cyprinodontiformes; Poeciliidae.
AAGGAUUUUAAACAAACAUCAUAAUCAAGUAUUCAUUGUUUUUUUUUUAAAUGACAUCAUCAUUAACCACCUCUGAUUGGUUCCUCAAAAUAAGUUAGGAGAAUCCCAUCCCAUUUUUCCCCCCAACCGUCUCCUGGUUAUAUUGGGAUACAAACAAUGAGGUAAAAUACCCCACAUAGAAGCAGUAAACCCAAACAGGUAAAUUAUAAGAUUAAAUAAACUAACCAAAGUCGGAUUUCCGCAUUUUUAAUUGCAGUCUCUCAUUUCCGACUUAAAUUUAAUUAGCUUCAACAGCUCAUCAGUUCCAACUAAUUCUUCCACUUAAAUCACUUUCAUGUCAUGAAUAUGGAUAAUCCCCCUUCAGUUUGCUACGCGUUCAGCAAAUCAGCAAUUCAACACGUCAUUAAUUAAACAUGAGAGAGUGCGGUUGGAUAAUGUGCAUGUCAUUAACUCCGCUUCCUCUUUUGUUCCAGCGCGGAUUUACACCACGUCGGUGACGACCGGAGACAUGCAGGUUCUGGUGCGGUUUGUGGCGAUGACUCUGCUCAACUUCUGGGUGCUGCUCACUGUGAUCUAUUACCAACGAAGAAGAAGCAGCAGCUCCAAGAAAGAUGACUAAUCUAGUGGUUUCUUCUUCAACGCUUACUGGGUCACCACAGGCACAAGAAAUACGGAAACAAUCUAAGGGUAACCGUUACUACUGUUAAAAAGAAAGUACACCCCGUUUCAUUUCUAGUUUUUACUUAAGAGGAUUUCAUAAAUGUUCUGAAAUUUUUUUUAAGGUACUAAAGUAGUUUAAACGUAAUCUUGAAUGUAAAAAAACAAAAACAAAAAACAGAUGCGACUGUUGGUGUCUUUAAUCCUCACAGCUUACUGUAAAAAAUGUGUUUGACUAAAGUUUACCUGCAGGAGGUCGCUGAGUUACUUUGAAUUGAUCAGAGAAACAAACAGUAUCAGAAAUACAAUGUGCUUAAACAGGCAAGCUUUAAAAACC